This is a long non-coding RNA of Etheostoma cragini (Arkansas darter), 163 nucleotides long. RefSeq lists it as uncharacterized. The transcript has 3 exons. Lineage: Eukaryota; Metazoa; Chordata; Actinopteri; Perciformes; Percidae. The record is from RefSeq and is a predicted model, not a curated record.
GCGGUUUUGUUGGUUUUAUUGCCGCAUUUUUUCACUUUUUUUUCUUUUAAUGCAUGUCAUUUUUGUCUCUUGAAUCAUUUCCAUCACUGUCAACAUCUUUUUAUUUCUCUUUUCUUUUCUGCUACUCUGGUUUUAUAAAUAUUCAAAAACAAACUCAACCAGA